RNAcentral lists this ribosomal RNA (110 nucleotides) under uncultured bacterium. RNAcentral's name for it is "partial 16S ribosomal RNA". It matches the Rfam family "Bacterial small subunit ribosomal RNA", at positions 1373 to 1482 of the family's 1533-position model. The record is from RNAcentral.
CCCGGGUCUUGUACACACCGCCCGUCACACCAUGGGAGCGGGUUUUACCAGAAGUAGGUAGCUUAACCGCAAGGAGGGCGCUUGCCACGGUAGGAUUCGUGACUGGGGUG